UCUACAGGUGUUGCAUGGCUGUCGUCAGCUCGUGUCGUGAGAUGUUCGUUAAGUCCGCUAACGAGCGCAACCCUCGCUGUGUGUUACAAGUGUCACACGGUACUGCCGAUAUUAAGUCGGAGGAAGGUGGGGAUGACGUCAAGUCAGCAUGACCUUUAUAUCCAGGGCUACACACACGCUACAAUGGCCAGUACAAUGAGUUGCCAAGCCGCGAGGCGGAGCCAAUCCUAAAAAGCUGGCCUCAGUUCAGAUUGCAGUCUGCAACUCGACUGCAUGAAGUUGGAGUUGCUAGUAACCGCAGGUCAGCAAUACUGCGGUGAAUACGUUCCCGGGGAUU
This 337-nucleotide ribosomal RNA is filed under the name uncultured Anaerolineaceae bacterium. RNAcentral describes it as "bacterial SSU rRNA". It matches the Rfam family "Bacterial small subunit ribosomal RNA", at positions 1031 to 1378 of the family's 1533-position model. The record is from RNAcentral. Lineage: Bacteria; Bacillati; Chloroflexota; Anaerolineae; Anaerolineales; Anaerolineaceae.